Molecule: transfer RNA, 76 nt
Filed under: Thiobacillus sp.
Lineage: Bacteria; Pseudomonadati; Pseudomonadota; Betaproteobacteria; Nitrosomonadales; Thiobacillaceae
Description: tRNA-Glu
Rfam family: tRNA
About the family: Transfer RNA (tRNA) molecules are approximately 80 nucleotides in length.
Source: RNAcentral
GACCCCAUCGUCUAGAGGCCUAGGACACUACCCUUUCACGGUAGGUACCGGGGUUCGAAUCCCCGUGGGGACGCCA